UACGGAAGGUCCGGGCGUUAUCCGGAUUUAUUGGGUUUAAAGGGAGCGUAGGCCGGAGAUUAAGCGUGUUGUGAAAUGUAGACGCUCAACGUCUGCACUGCAGCGCGAACUGGUUUCCUUGAGUACGCACAAAGUGGGCGGAAUUCGUGGUGUAGCGGUGAAAUGCUUAGAUAUCACGAAGAACUCCGAUUGCGAAGGCAGCUCACUGGAGCGCAACUGACGCUGAAGCUCGAAAGUGCGGGUAUCGAACAGGAUUAGAUACCCCUGUAGACUGACU
This 277-nucleotide ribosomal RNA is filed under the name Segatella copri DSM 18205. Its description in RNAcentral is "Prevotella copri DSM 18205 partial 16S ribosomal RNA". It matches the Rfam family "Bacterial small subunit ribosomal RNA", at positions 524 to 801 of the family's 1533-position model. Lineage: Bacteria; Pseudomonadati; Bacteroidota; Bacteroidia; Bacteroidales; Prevotellaceae. The record is from RNAcentral.